UGGCGGCGUGCUUAAUACAUGCAAGUGAGCGGAGCUAAUAGUGAGUUACUUAUAUUAGUCGGGCAGCGGACGGGUGAGUAACGCGUGGGCAAUCCUGCCCUCUAGUUUGGGAUAACAGUUCGAAAGGACUGCUAACACCGAAUAAUCUUAAAUUUGGGCAUCUAAAUUUAAGGAAAGUUAACGCUAGAGGAUGAGCCCGCGUCCCAUUAGCUAGUUGGUGAGGUAACGGCCCACCCAAGGCAACGAUGGGUAGCCGACCUGAGAGGGUGACCGGCCACACUGGGACUGAGACACGGCCCAGACUCCUACGGGAGGCAGCAGUAGGGAAUUUUCCGCAAUUGGACGAAAGUCUGACGGAGCAACGCCGCGUGAGGGAUGAAGGUUUUCGGAUCGUAAACCUCUGCCCUUGGGGAAGAUAAUGACGGUACCCAAGGAGGAAGCCACGGCUAACUACGUGCCAGCCGCCGC
RNAcentral lists this ribosomal RNA (468 nucleotides) under uncultured bacterium. RNAcentral's name for it is "bacterial SSU rRNA". It matches the Rfam family "Bacterial small subunit ribosomal RNA", at positions 37 to 518 of the family's 1533-position model. The record is from RNAcentral.